GCCGCGGCGAUAGAUCAGUGGGUAAAGCGCCAGUGAGGCGAUUACUCCGAGAGCUAUUGUCCGCGCGGGUUCGAAUCCCGCCUGUGGCA
Molecule: non-coding RNA, 89 nt
Organism: Aromia moschata
Lineage: Eukaryota; Metazoa; Arthropoda; Insecta; Coleoptera; Cerambycidae
Source: the annotation of a GenBank genome assembly